This is a long non-coding RNA of Chlorocebus sabaeus (green monkey), 2363 nucleotides long. RefSeq lists it as uncharacterized. NCBI's taxonomy places the organism in Eukaryota, Metazoa, Chordata, Mammalia, Primates, Cercopithecidae. The record is from RefSeq and is a predicted model, not a curated record.
GGCCUGGUCGGCGCGCUCCUUCCGGGCUCAGACGCCCUCCCCUCGCCCCUCCGCCUCGCCGUUGCCAGGGGCGGGGUCGCCGCUCGGCCCGCUAUAGUCCUCGGCCUUCCAGGCGAAGGGCAAGAGCGAGCCCUGGCGGACCGUGCGUAGGGGUGCAGAGACCUGGACGCGGCCUGCGAUCUCCUUCCCCGCCCCGGCGUUCUCCGCCCACCCGGGGUCCUUCCCGCCAAAACCUCUCACCUACAAGUACAGCGCGCCCUAAAUUUGGCACCGGCAAAGAACUGUGGCUGAGCAAUGCGUUGCUCACAGGCUCCUUUCUUUGUGUUUUUUUCUCUUCUCGUUGCUAUAUAUAACAAAACCCUCCACGUUUUGAAGUCUCCGAGGAGUCAUUCUGACAGCAGUGCGGUCGCUGAUAGACUCACAGAAUGUCAAUGUCAGCGCUGAAGAGAUCUUGGAGAUCAUUUAAUCCAGAGAUUUGGAGCCUCAUGUGAACUUCGGAGUCCGGAACCCCCUAAAACACAGGCCAGUUUUUGCUUAUGUGAGCAUGUCUCUGGAGAGAUGGACCCGUAGCUUCUGUCAGAUUCCCAAACGUGUUGGUGACCCUGAAAACGGUUAAAAAUAUUUCUCUAAUCCAAUUUUUUCCCCCAAAGGACGAAGCAGACCGCAAGGAAUAAAGGGAAUUGCCAAGGUCACACAGGCAAUGGUAGAGUGCAAGAUGGCUUUUGGGCCCUCCACUGCUCACUGUGCUUCUGCUUUUCACUCUCCCCAAGCAAUACCUUAUUCUACCAUGAGAUAACCAAACAACAGAUGAAGGGGAAGACUCAAGUUAAUAAAAAAGAAAGGCUAGAAGUAGAAUAUCACCAUUUUGCAGUCUUCAAAGAGAUAAUGACCUCUUUCAAAGAAGCAAUGAUCAUCAGUGACUAAGAACAGCAGAAAAAGAAACAAUUGGAUAUCAUGGACCUCCUGCUAGACACCACCACAGUGCAGUGGUCUUGUGGGGUGUUGGGAGCAGUUCACAAGACUGCUCUUACUUCUGGCAUCAGCUGCAAGUUUGGGGAUUCUCAAAACCACACAAUUUUGAUAAUUUGCUAGAAGGACUUGAAAUCACUAAAAGUUGUUAUCCUAAUGGUUAUGGUUUAUCACAACUAAAGGAUACAGAUUAAAGGUAGUCCAGGAAAAAAAUCAUGUAAGACAAAGUCUAGAAAAGUUCCAUAUAUGGAUGUUCCAGUUAUCUUCUCCCUGUGGAGUUGUAUGCACCAUUACUUUCCCAUUAUCAGUGUAUGACCAUAUGCACAGAUUAUUGCCAAGCACCUGAGCCUUCCUGUCCAGAUAUUUAUUUGGUUGGCUGCCCACAUGACUUCUCCAUCUCCAGCCCCUCCAGAACUGAUUGCUGAGUAUGUGUGACCCAAACCUCCCACUCUGUAUCACAUCAUUACACUAUCCAUUUUAACCAAGGCCUGCACACAAACAAAACCACUCCUAUCAUGAAACUCCAAGGGUUUAGAAAUUACACCCCCAAAUAGAGGGAAAAGGCCAGACCCCUUUUUGGACAAGAUUAUAGUCUUUUCUACACAUCUUGCAAAACAAACAAACAAAAAAGAUUGAGCCUGAAUCUGAUUAAGCCUUUAGAUUCAACUAACAAUUUACAGGAAACACAGGGAUAAAGAACCUUUUAAGUGAUACCAUAGCAAAUUCAGGCCAAUUGACCUGAUAUCUUUAACAAAAAGUUGCAAGAGGAAAAAGGGAACGGAAGAGAAACCUAUAAAUUAAAAUAGAAUUAAAAUACAUAUUGCUUAGUUGCAAUGUAUUGUACCAUAUUUGGAUCCUGAUUUAAAUAAUGAAGUUGAAAGUUCUCAGAAUUAGGGUAAUGUGAACUCUGGUUGAAUAUUUUAUGAUGUUAAGGCAUUAAUUUUUGCAUUAGAUAAUUGUUAUGAUCAUGUUUAAAGAUCACAAAAAGAAUCUCUAUCUUUUAGAGAUUCAUACUGAAAUAUUUACAGAUGAAAUGACAUAAUGUGUGGGAUUUGCUUCAAAAUAACCUGGGGAUGAGUUGGUAGUAGGUGGGGUUUUGGAUGGAAUGAGACUGGCCAUGUGCUGUAAGAAAACAAAAAAAAAUGAGUUGUAUGUUAGUUCACAUGUUCAUGCUUUCCAUUUUGAAAAAUGUAACAUGUAUAUGUGAUAGAGCCUGUGGGACUCAGGAGGCCUUCACUGAGCCUUGCUUUUCUGCUAAGGUACUUGUGUACAAUAGACUGUUCUUAUUUGUUCACCUCUUCAUUUUCUCUGGGCCUUUGAGGGAGCAGAUGUUGAUUAUUUCAGUUGAAAGCUGGAACUAGUAUGCAUAGUGGUUGAGGCUAUACAGUUGUUGC